RNAcentral lists this ribosomal RNA (253 nucleotides) under uncultured bacterium. RNAcentral describes it as "partial 16S ribosomal RNA". It matches the Rfam family "Bacterial small subunit ribosomal RNA", at positions 524 to 776 of the family's 1533-position model. The record is from RNAcentral.
UACGAAGGGGGCUAGCGUUGCUCGGAAUUACUGGGCGUAAAGGGCUCGUAGGCGGCCAACUAAGUCAGACGUGAAAUCCCUCGGCUUAACCGGGGAACUGCGUCUGAUACUGGAUGGCUUGAAUCCGGGAGAGGGAUGCGGAAUUCCAGGUGUAGCGGUGAGAUGCGUAGAUAUCUGGAGGAACACCGGUGGCGAAGGCGGCAUCCUGGACCGGCAUUGACGCUGAGGAGCGAAAGCCAGGGGAGCAAACGGG